RNAcentral lists this ribosomal RNA (484 nucleotides) under uncultured bacterium. RNAcentral's name for it is "partial 16S ribosomal RNA". It matches the Rfam family "Bacterial small subunit ribosomal RNA", at positions 30 to 507 of the family's 1533-position model. The record is from RNAcentral.
AUUGAACGCUGGCGGCAGGCCUAACACAUGCAAGUCGAGCGGAUGCAGGGAGCUUGCUCCUGGAUUCAGCGGCGGACGGGUGAGUAAUACCUAGGAAUCUGCCUGGUAGUGGGGGAUAACGUCCGGAAACGGGCGCUAAUACCGCAUACGUCCUGAGGGAGAAAGUGGGGGAUCUUCGGACCUCACGCUAUCAGAUGAGCCUAGGUCGGAUUAGCUAGUUGGUGGGGUAAAGGCCUACCAAGGCGACGAUCCGUAACUGGUCUGAGAGGAUGAUCAGUCACACUGGGACUGAGACACGGUCCAGACUCCUACGGGAGGCAGCAGUGGGGAAUAUUGGACAAUGGGCGAAAGCCUGAUCCAGCCAUGCCGCGUGUGUGAAGAAGGUCUUCGGAUUGUAAAGCGCUUUAAGUUGGGAGGAAGAGCAGUAAGUUAAUACCUUGCUGUUUUGACGUUACCAUCAGAAUAAGCACCGGCUAACUUCGUG